Molecule: long non-coding RNA, 945 nt
Filed under: Bemisia tabaci
Lineage: Eukaryota; Metazoa; Arthropoda; Insecta; Hemiptera; Aleyrodidae
Description: lncRNA ENSSSA1NGG008433
Source: RNAcentral
GUAAGUAGAAGUUUGUUGAUGGAAAAUAUGAAUUAAAAAAUCGUAAUUCAAAAGAAAAAUUAAAAUAAUUUAUUAAAUGCAUAGUUUGUAGUAUUUGAGGCAUUACAAUACGAUGAUUCAAUAAAUUAGGAUAGUUUUUAAAAAAAACAAAAGUGAAAAGAGCUCGUCGAAUUUUAUUACCCUGCAUCACUGUAACAACAAAAUUCAUUUGACGUAUUUUCUUAUCACACAGCACACGUGCUUUUAUCUUCACUACAUAUCUAUUUGAAUUACCUGGAAUGUAAUUUUAUUUGAUAUAAUAUAAUGGAUACCUCAUUUUCAUCUACGAAAUUCAAUGCCGAAGAUUUUGACAUCAUCGAAUUUUGUCAUGCUACAAGACUGCAAUCGAGGCCUGAAGUCACGUCAAUUGGAGAGUCAGAUGCAAAUGAUAGCACUGCAUUGCUAACUGAAUUUCUCCGCAAGGGAGAAUAUUUUGAGGUUUUCCACUCCAGUGCCGCCAAGAACUUGCUCAAUUCCUUGCAAGCAGCAAUUGACUCUUCUGAACAUAGCGAUGAUGUGGAUUUAAUUUUUUCUACUGCCUGCAAUAGUGAGUCAGUGAACAGAUGCUUGAAUACUCUUACAUCUUUUUCUGAUUACUUGUGUCUUCCUGUGGCAUUCCUUAGACUUUUUGUUCAAGCUAAUUGGACUGGACCGCCAGUUGACUCCAACAAAAUCAAUGGGGUCUCAGAAUGGGUCAGAGCGCUGUUUGCUAAAUGGAACAAUGAUUCACCCGAUAAACUACGGAUAUUUUUAACAAUAGAUGGAGAGUCUAUUUGCCAAAAUGCUAAGCACCUAGAACUACUUGUAGCUGCCCAGUUUUUAUUCAAAUUGAACAAGUUCUAUUCUGUAAGUCUUAUACUUUUCUCAGUGAAAAAUUUGCACAAAAAUUUUCAUUGCUUCAUCUGA